GCUGCCGGAGAAUUUGUUAAAAAUUACAUCGCGCAUGGUGAAUCCCCCUCAGCGGCGGGGCAUCUGGCAAAGUGUAUGAUCCAGAGAACAUGCAAAUUCAGUAGACAGGCUGAAUUUACCGGGAGGCCCCUGGCACCAUGCGACAGACAGAAAUUAGGCUAUACUUCAGCCCCUCUCCGGAGGGGCUUUUCUGUGC
Molecule: small RNA, 196 nt
Filed under: Escherichia coli
Lineage: Bacteria; Pseudomonadati; Pseudomonadota; Gammaproteobacteria; Enterobacterales; Enterobacteriaceae
Description: Gammaproteobacterial sRNA STnc100
Rfam family: Gammaproteobacterial sRNA STnc100
Source: RNAcentral